Molecule: ribosomal RNA, 387 nt
Filed under: Triticum aestivum (bread wheat)
Lineage: Eukaryota; Viridiplantae; Streptophyta; Magnoliopsida; Poales; Poaceae
Description: partial small subunit ribosomal RNA
Source: RNAcentral
AUGUUGAAGCUGUUCCUUCAACACUUGUGUUGUACACAUUGUAGCAGCAAGGUGGAGUUGCUCCUCCACAAACUUUGUGCUGCUUCACCUCCACAACCUCAGCACGCAGGCAGUUCACCUCCGCCACCGAUGUCAGUUCAACGCCACCAGGAGAACCCUGUGCGUCAACACCCCUGUCAACCCCGUGCAACUUUGUUCUCUCAGCUUCAAAGAGGGUCGGUUCAGAACUUUGAACGCCCAGAGGUUCAGUUCAGAACUUGGCCUUGUGAUACAUUUGGUUUCUUUUCUGCAGCUCACACGACCCAAAUAACAACUGAUCAUUUGAUAAAUUUUGGGUUCAGCUUCACACUACGCAGAAGUGCAUAUUCUUCUGCUUGUAAGUUCUAA